GACGGACAUUUGGUAGACUAGAAUGGCAGAGAUCACACGACGUGUCAUUUACUAUACCAUACCUUUGGGCCUAGUCUUGUACUUAAUGUAGUUAAGGCUAGGCCCACAGGUAUGGUGAAUUGUCUCUAGAGAAAAUAUAUUUGUACACGUGGUGUAAUUAUAAAUAUACUACGUAAGCCAUUCGUUUCUAUUAAACAGCAAAGAUUGUAUUAUCGGUAGUUGGUAAGAAUACACCUCCCCGAUUUCACCGAAAUUCGAAAUCCCACGUUGUACUCGGAUCAAUAAACGUCAAUCGAAUUUGAAAGUUUGUUUAAUUUUAAACACAAGUUCCUUGUUGAUUUGUUACGUCACAACCUUUAUCAAUCCUCUUAUCGUGUUUCUUUUCGUAAGCGUAAUAUUAUAUACAACCAAGUUACCAGACGUCGAUAUAAUAAAUCAAAUAUACAUGUUGAAUUAAUAUUUAUAAAAUAUUGGGGAUGGUCGAGCAGUAAAGACACUAACAUGCCAUUCUGAAUGAAUAUCUUACGUUAAGUAUCGUUUCUUACCAUUAAUUGUAUACAUUUAUCGAAUUUAACGUGCAUAAAAAUAAGAUUUUAAGAAAUUUAAAGAAACUAGUCCUCAAAAUAAGCGUUGAAAACACCAGUUUACUAUUCUGUAUUAUCAUUAAAAAGUAAAGUAAAUUUUUAUACAUGUGUAGAGGCAUGUAUAUACUUUUUAACCCUGAAAUCUAUAUAAAUAUUUCCUUAAAUAAAAUAUAAUUAUUUUCAGCUUUACAUAAAUUUCAAACAAAAAAGAAACAAUUAUAAAAUCUAUCGAUAAAAUAUUAUUAAUAGAUAAACUUUAUCAUAAAUAUGAUAAGAUUUUUCGAUAAUUCUUAUAAAUAAGAUAUACAGAGUGAUACAAAUGUCAGAAUACACAAGCAAAGACACCAGUUUAUUGUGCAAUUACAUACAUAUAAAUCACUAAUUAUAAUCUGUAUAAAUGUAAUUUAAUUAAAUUUACAAAAAAGAGCAUUUCUUCCAACCCUGGCAAAACCUGAAAAUGAGUAAGUUAAUUUACCACGAGUGUUUGUGUGACUAGUUUUGAAUCACCCCGUAUAGUUAUUCUCCAACUUUCUCCAUUAGCCUGCGAACGACCAGCAAUACAUCGUUCAGCAUAAGGUGAAAGAUACAAAAGCCAAUUUCAAAGCAAUGAUUGUCUUCGUUGUGAUUUUCUUGUCAAUUCUUUGUUCAGAAAUAUUUGAAAUCUCCGAAUCAAACGAGAGAAAGAAUGUAAGACGAUUGUCCCUCCUCAGAUUUACCUGGCCGACUCGAUAAAAUACAAAUUAACUGAUCAUCAGCUCGUCGCUUCGAAACAUUGUUCGAGAAGGUCCAAAGCAUCAAUGUUUUUAAAACGAAAAUACUC
Molecule: unclassified non-coding RNA, 1404 nt
Filed under: Centruroides sculpturatus (bark scorpion)
Lineage: Eukaryota; Metazoa; Arthropoda; Arachnida; Scorpiones; Buthidae
Description: uncharacterized LOC111618142, transcript variant X3
Source: RNAcentral